UUGGUGAACAUAGGACCAAGGUGCGUCAGGCAGGAUGCCCCUGCGGUGAAGAGCCACUGUGACCACACGCCUGGGCCUCACCGCCACAGCCGGUGCCUCCCUGUGCCACAGGCACCUCAGGCAGAAACCUCACAGGGGCGAUUUUGAUAUUUUCUGAAACAAUUAAACAAACGAUCUUGUGAUUUUUUUUUUUUUCCCCCCAGAACGGAGAAAAAAAUGGCUCGCGCCAAAACAGUCGUGAACUCCAAGACCCACCCUCCCAAGUGCAUUCAGUGUGGGCAGUACCUGGACGACCCUGACCUCAAAUAUGGGCAGCACCCACCAGACGCGGUACGUACAGCUCUCUUCCCAGCCUUCCUCUGCCCGUCCCUUGUCUCACUGCUCACCAGCCCCGUGUCCUUCAGGUGGAUGAGCCACAGAUGCUGACAAAUGAGAAGCUGUCCAUCUUUGACGCCAACGAGUCUGGCUUUGAGAGUUAUGAGGCGCUUCCCCAGCACAAACUGACCUGCUUCAGUGUGUACUGUAAGCAUGGUCACCUGUGUCCCAUCGACACCGGCCUCAUCGAGAAGAAUAUCGAACUCUUCUUUUCUGGUUCAGCAAAACCAAUCUAUGAUGAUGACCCGUCUCUUGAAGGUGGUGUUAAUGGCAAAAAUCUUGGCCCCAUAAAUGAGUGGUGGAUCACUGGCUUUGAUGGAGGUGAAAAGGCGCUCAUCGGCUUCAGCACCUCAUUUGCCGAAUACAUUCUGAUGGAUCCCAGUCCCGAGUAUGCGCCCAUAUUUGGGCUGAUGCAGGAGAAGAUCUACAUCAGCAAGAUUGUGGUGGAGUUCCUGCAGAGCAAUUCCGACUCGACCUAUGAGGACCUGAUCAACAAGAUCGAGACCACGGUUCCUCCUUCUGGCCUCAACUUGAACCGCUUCACAGAAGACUCCCUCCUGCGACACGCGCAGUUUGUGGUGGAGCAGGUGGAGAGUUAUGACGAGGCCGGGGA
Molecule: small RNA, 988 nt
Filed under: Pan troglodytes (chimpanzee)
Lineage: Eukaryota; Metazoa; Chordata; Mammalia; Primates; Hominidae
Description: retained intron
Source: RNAcentral